Molecule: long non-coding RNA, 284 nt
Filed under: Calidris pugnax (ruff)
Lineage: Eukaryota; Metazoa; Chordata; Aves; Charadriiformes; Scolopacidae
Description: lncRNA (ENSCPUG00000004124.1)
Source: RNAcentral
CUGGAAACUACUUGUCUCCAUUUCUCAUCACAAAACCAUUGGCUUUUCUUGGUUUCUGAGCUCACACUGAUGUCUCUGGUGAAACAGAGGGCACUCACACUUUGUUCUGCCUUCAGGAAGCUCCUGCAUCUCCAGAUGAAGGUAGCAUCCCUCCUCUACAGCUCCAUGCGGGAUCUCUGUCGGAAAGAACUGUUACUGGAGGAAUAUAAGUAUAUUGGGAUUUCUCACAGCAGCGCUUUUUGAAGGAUGUGUCUGCUCAAUAUACUUCUGUGGAAAACCUUGGC